Brassica napus (rape) is the source of this 2152-nucleotide long non-coding RNA. RefSeq lists it as uncharacterized. The transcript is spliced from 2 exons. The record is from RefSeq and is a predicted model, not a curated record. NCBI's taxonomy places the organism in Eukaryota, Viridiplantae, Streptophyta, Magnoliopsida, Brassicales, Brassicaceae.
GUUCGCUACUACUUUCUCGGAUCGGGUUCGGUUCGGUUCUUCGGAUUCGGUUUUUCUGCCCCGGUGUAAAUCUGCCCGUGACAGUUUUUUUUUUCUUUUUUACAAAAAGAAAAAGGACGAAUACAAAACCGGCGAGCUUGGCAACUCUCGGAAACUAAGCCAGAGGAUAUGAGGAAUCUACCAUAGUUCUCAUAAAAACCGGAUAAACUUUUAUUGGAACUCCUGAUUAUUUAUUAGAUAUCAUGUAUGGUGUGUAUUUCACCGAUGAGUGAAAGGGAAAAUAAAAAUAUAAGGCUUGGAGUUGAAUUUAUUAGGUUUAACAAAAGACGGAAAUCGGGUAAUAGGUCAUUAGAAUUUUGGACUAUUGGAUAUGUUUUGAAGUGUAAAGUUAUCCAUCUAUCUAUAAUAAUAAAACAGAGUUAUCUCUCACAUCAUGCGUCCACGUCAGCAAGCACAUAUAGGCAUUUUGUGCCACCUGUCACAUAAAAAAACAACUUUCCUAAUUUUUAGUUCGCAAGAUAAUUCUGAAAAAUAUUAUGGGCUAAUAUCAGGUUUGUUUGUUCAAGCCCAUUUGUUUGUCUGUCAAGCACAUGACGUCUUUCAUCCUAGCCGCCUCCGAUUAGAUUCUUGUAACGUCUUCUCUUUCCCAUUAAUUUUUUCCUUUAAUCAGACCAUUAACAUCGUCAUCCCACUCGCUGCAUUAUUAAUUCGAGCUCAGACUCUUCGUUACCUAACCGGCGAAAGAUUUGGUUUCGUCGAUCGACCUUGACUCGACUUGGGUUUGUGCUUUCAGUCCGUAUAAAGAACACCUUGCCUCUCUUCUCCUUCUGCCAUGUCACUAAAUAGGAAGAGGAGAGCCUUCCACGUGUCUCACUCCACACAGAACUCACCGUUUCAAUAAUUCAAAGUCAUCGUUUCCUUUGCGCGGCUUUAAUAUUAACUGUUGAUUUGGGCUACGAAAUAUUUUCAAAUGGGCUCUAAUACACAGAACUCACACGUAAGGGAAUACGUAUGGUCGUCUCCCGCUUCCCUUACGCGAUCCCGACUCUUCCCGGAGGGAAGAAGCCUCCUUUUGUUUCUGUAUUCCUGAAGCCGUUGGGGAACACGCUUUUGACAGAUCAGAGUGGCGUUGUAUUUCCUGGCGGCGACUGAUGUUGCGGAGGAUCCGGUUUAAGGCUGGUGCUUCUUCCUAGGCUGGUUGUGAACGGAAGCCUGAUGGUGCUGAUGGAGCUCCGAUGAAUUGAAAUGGCUUGCGGAUUGCUUAGUUAUCUUUUUCAGUAGUGAAGAUUGGGCAGCAGCCGAAGCCUUGGGGAAGUUAGCCUACGGUGGAAAGAAAUGAUCUUUCCUCCAUUAGCUUUGUUUGGAUGCGUUACUUCAUUUUAGGUGAUGCAAGUUCAGUUCCAUCGCAUACAAAAUCACACCUAAGAAAACUUUACAUGUUUUGGUCUUCUUUCGGUAUUUGCAAUGACAGCAGACGCAUGAGAGAUGUAUAGUGUGGAAUGGAUGGGUUUGUAUAAAGUUCUCUUCUCUUUAGAAUUUGAUACCCCCGAGCCUUUUGAAUUCUCGGAUAGAUGGCGGUGAAGGAGUGAGAGCAGGUCGCAUGUGGAAUUGGUGUCCGUCUACACGGAUUAAUUUGUCUCUUAAUUUUGUCUUUAGAACUGCAAAUAAUGGAGCUUUUGUUCAGCACUUGAUAUGAAGGGUCUUUAGAAACAUUACGUGAUUAAGGCAGGGGAAGAAGAUUUUGGAGGAGAGAUGGAUCAGGUCAAGCUGAGGUUGAGUUUGAGUUUCUUCAGAUUGGUCAAGAACAAGAGGAUAACUAUUCCAAUCUCAUGGUAAAUUACUUUGACAUUAAAGUCCUUACAGCUUUUAUGGGAGACAUAUUGAUGUUCAUAUGCCUUAUCAUGAUCUUAGUGUCGUUGAUGUCUUUUCUGCUGUUGUCCGUCAAGUGACAGCUUUUAUGGUUUGUAUUAUCGGUUUUUAUUGGGAUUUAACGGUUUUUGGUUUUAUCUAUUUAAUAGAUAAACUGAAUGAAGUGCGAAACCAUUUGUAAAUCGUUUUAGUUUCUACUCUGAUUAAUUUGAUGUCAUAUUCAGUUUGGUAUGGGAACUGCAUAUGUAACAAAUGAUACUAUAAUAGUUAAUAUUGUAUUUGU